This 468-nucleotide ribosomal RNA is filed under the name uncultured bacterium. RNAcentral describes it as "partial 16S ribosomal RNA". It matches the Rfam family "Bacterial small subunit ribosomal RNA", at positions 28 to 507 of the family's 1533-position model. The record is from RNAcentral.
GACGAACGCUGGCGGCGUGCUUAACACAUGCCAGUCGAACGGAAAGGCCCUGCUUUUGUGGGGUGCUCGCGUCGCGAACGGGUGAGUAACCUGUGAGUAACCUGCCCUUGACUUUGGGAUAACUUCAGGAAACUGGGGAUAAUACCGGCUAGGAGCUCCUGCUGCAUGGUGGGGGUUGGACAGUUUCGGCGGUUGGGGAUGGACUCGCGGCUUACCAGCUUGUUGGUGGGGUAGUGGCUUACCAAGGCUUUGACGGGUAGCCGGCCUGAGAGGGUGACCGGCGACAUUGGGACUGAGAGACGGCCCAGAGUCCUACGGGAGGCAGCAGUGGGGAAUAUUGCACAGUGGGCGGAAGCCUGAUGCAGCAACGCCGCGUGCGGGAUGACGGCCUUCGGGUUGUAAACCGCUUUCGCCUGUGACGAAGCGUGAGUGACGGUAAUGGGUAAAGAAGCACCGGCUAACUACGUG